AGAACUUGAGAAUAGACUGACUGCUGAUCUGAACAUUUUCAGUCAGCUUUCUUUCUCCGACUAUCACUGCAUUUAAAUGAGCGAAGGGAAAUGAACAAAGGCUGGAUUUGAUCACAUCAGUUUAAUAAUAGUAGACACUUAAGUGGCAGGAGGUUGACCGGUUCAGUAUGUCCCUUGACUCCAGCACAAGCAGCGGGGAUUGGCUCCAGUCCUUUGCGACUGAGGCAAUAAGCAGAAGGGAAUACGAUGAGCUGGUCAUGCCUGAAACACCUCCAAUGGGCGGCCUCAAGGGGGCAUCCUCAUGAGACCCCCAAACCACCUGAACUGACUCUUUUCAAAGCAGAGAAGCAGCGGUACUACUCCGAGUCCCUCCCAAGUGACAGAACUCCUCACCUUAUCUCUAAGGGAGAUGCCAGCCACCUGUCAGAGAAAACUCUGAGGUGAGGAGCAGGUGGAGGGAUUGUAUCUCUUCUGUGGCCUGGGAGUGUGUUAA
Long non-coding RNA from Synchiropus splendidus (mandarinfish), 493 nucleotides. RefSeq lists it as uncharacterized. The record is from RefSeq and is a predicted model, not a curated record. The transcript has 3 exons. Lineage: Eukaryota; Metazoa; Chordata; Actinopteri; Syngnathiformes; Callionymidae.